This 468-nucleotide ribosomal RNA is filed under the name uncultured bacterium. RNAcentral's name for it is "partial 16S ribosomal RNA". It matches the Rfam family "Bacterial small subunit ribosomal RNA", at positions 28 to 507 of the family's 1533-position model. The record is from RNAcentral.
GACGAACGCUGGCGGCGUGCUUAACACAUGCAAGUCGAACGGAAAGACCCUGCUUUUGUGGGGUGCUCGAGUGGCGAACGGGUGAGUAACACGUGAGUAACCUGCCCUUGACUUUGGGAUAACUUCAGGAAACUGGGGCUAAUACCGGAUAGAAGCUCCUGCUGCAUGGUGGGGGUUGGAAAGUUUCGGCGGUUGGGGAUGGACUCGCGGCUUAUCAGCUUGUUGGUGGGGUAGUGGCUUACCAAGGCUUUGACGGGUAGCCGGCCUGAGAGGGUGACCGGCCACAUUGGGACUGAGAUACGGCCCAGACUCCUACGGGAGGCAGCAGUGGGGAAUAUUGCACAAUGGGCGGAAGCCUGAUGCAGCAACGCCGCGUGCGGGAUGACGGCCUUCGGGUUGUAAACCGCUUUCGCCUGUGACGAAGCGUGAGUGACGGUAAUGGGUAAAGAAGCACCGGCUAACUACGUG